GCCGUGGCUCAGUGGUAGAGAAUCUGCUUAGCAUGUAGAAGGCACCAGGUUCAAUGCCCAGCAUCUCCA
Molecule: transfer RNA, 69 nt
Filed under: Sphaerodactylus townsendi
Lineage: Eukaryota; Metazoa; Chordata; Lepidosauria; Squamata; Sphaerodactylidae
Description: tRNA-Ala
Source: RNAcentral